CCUACGGGUGGCAGCAGUGAGGAAUAUUGGUCAAUGGGCGCGAGCCUGAACCAGCCAAGUCGCGUGAGGGAAGACGGUCCUAUGGAUUGUAAACCUCUUUUGUCGGGGAGCAAAAGACGCCACUCGCGGCGUUCCGAGCGUACCCUAAGAACAAGCAUCGGCUAACUCCGUGCCAGCAGCCGCGGUAAUACGGAGGAUGCGAGCGUUAUCCGGAUUUAUUGGGUUUAUGGGGUGCUCAGGCGGAAGAUCAAGUCAGCGGUAAAAUUGAGAGGCUCAACCUCUUCGAGCCGUUGAAACUGGUGGUCUUGAGUGAGGGAGAAGUAAGCGGAAUGCGUGGUGUAGCGGUGAAAUGCGUAGAUAUCACGCAGAACUCCGAUUGCGAAGGCAGCAUACCGGAGCGCAACUGACGCUCAUGCACGAAAGUGUGGGUAUCGAACAGGAUUAGAUACCCGAGUAGUC
Molecule: ribosomal RNA, 459 nt
Filed under: uncultured bacterium
Lineage: Bacteria
Description: partial 16S ribosomal RNA
Rfam family: Bacterial small subunit ribosomal RNA
Source: RNAcentral